CUUCAUGUGACCUGCUAUGGCUGUGAGGUUAUCUUGGCCUUUUGAUUUGUUAAAUAGAAACAUUAGAGUGAAGUUCUUAGCACAUUCUCAUCUGUUAUAAACAUGUCAUCUAAGGGCUGGUGGGAUGGCUCAGCAGGUAAAGGGGAUUGUUGCCAAGUCUGAUAACCCGAGUUCAAUCCCCAGGUUCCACGUGGAAGGAAAGACAAACUAUUGCAAGUUGUCCUCUGACCUCUGCACAUGUCCCAGGGUACAUGCACACACACAAAUAAAUAAUAAUAAAAGCACAUGUCGCAUAAGCUUACAGAUUACAAAUAACUGCUGUAGAUGAAGGACUCUAUUAUAUGUCAGUUAUUGGAACACGGGAUCAAGGAAUGCCGAAGGCAGGAGUCAGUUCAGAAAGCCAACAUACCUCCAGUGACUUGAUUGAAAAACAAAAAAAACUUAGUAUUUUGAAUUAAACGUUUUAAAAGUCAUUGAAGGAACAGGCUGGAGGCUGUGAUUCUUGGAAUGGUUUUCGGAACAAUAAGGAUUAUGGACUCUGAGGUCACUCUUGGAGUCAGGCCAGGCUGAGUUCUACUAAUACCCCAACACAUGGAGCAGUGACUCUGCUUGACACUUAGAAGUCAGAGGAGGGACCUGGAAAAGUUGCUGAAGAAAGCGUGAUCCUCCUGACCUCGCAAUGCAGGAGAGGCCAUAGGAAGAGACCAGGCCUCCGUGCCUGCCUGUCAACAGAGUUAUUCUGUGAAGGACCUGAGGGUACAUAUGUGUGCUUUCUGGAUCCCCCGGUCUCUGUGAUGGCUACGAAACCCCAUCAUUCUCGAACCUCUAUUGUGUGGCUACUUCCCUCCAGUUGAACUAUUCUGGGUUAGAGGACUAAAUAAUGGCUCCCGCUUCCAGAUGCAAGCAGACAUCCAGACCCGGUCCCUCACGCUCUCUGCCAGCUCUGGACCAUGAUGGCAACCGACCGAGCUCCAGCAUCCCAACUGUAAAAAGAGUCUAGGAAAUGCAAUCUGGGGGUUUCCAGUCAAGUACUGGAGACCGUUAAAGGGGGCCGGGCUCCUGCCAAUGACAACAUGUGCUUCUGCUGUUUCGUGUUCACAUGAGCACAGAAAACAUAUCAGGCAGAAUGAAAAGUGUAUGGCAGGGGACAGGGGUUUGCCCCAGCUCAAAGGCCACCUCUUGAAGAAUAGCUUUGGCUACAAAGAAGAUUCGUGGACUACCAUUCCCUAAUGACUGUCUGUCCUCCAUAAGGAGAGGAGAGGAACUCACCACACCUGUGUCUUGCAGGCCUUUGAAGGUGGCACUCACAUUCUCAGUUCACCCAAAAUGUUUCCCAUGCUACAGGGAUGGCAGUUCCAGGUCUUUCCAUGUGGCCAGUUCUCUAGGAAUUCACCAAGAAUGAGCAUUUUAGCUCAACUGUGUAUUCGGGAGCCAGGAAGGUCAUGGGCUGCUGCUGCCCACACUCAGAGGUGAGUCUCAAGAUCACAAUGGAUCACAGAUCCAAUCAAGGCUGCAGUGAAGACCGGCUGUCACACUUCCUCUUGGAGUGGGUUUUAUUUAGUCAAUCACAGAAAAAAAAAUCACGGUCAUCUAAAAAGUUAAGAAACCAAGGCUGUUAAGACAGCUCAGGGGGUGAAAGGACUUGUCACCAAGCCUGCAGACUAGAGUUCAAUACCUGGGAUCUACAAGGUGCAAAGAACCAACUCCAACAAGUGGUCCUCUGACCUCCGCAUGCACACCAUGGUAUAUGAGUACAUGUGUACCCACAGACAGACACACACAUUAAAAAGGGAAAGUAACCAAUCCAAGUUCACAUCACCUUCUCCUGACUUCCAUGGUUCAAGCCCAGGUCCAAGUCCUAAGCACAGGUGGCCCGGGCCAUGGUGGUGGUCUCCUCUCCUCCACAGAAUCAUCUGAAACUAGCGAGCAGGCAGCAUUACAGGUGGCUGACCCCACAAGAAGAAAUCCAUGCAUUUGCUGGAGGGAAGCAGGUGGUUCUGUCAGGUGCACGGGCAAGUGUGCCAAGAGGGCAGCUUGGCCAAAGCCGCACUUCCUGGAGUUGUAUAACUCGUGUGCCCAGCGUAUAGUGUCCCUUCAAGCGUAACAGGAUCAUCCUACUGCCAUCUUGGAGUAGAGAUGACCUUGGCCAGGAAGUCAUGUCAAGGCCAUGAACAGAAAAAUAUGGAGGUAUCAAGGCCCACAAUAACAGUAACGGAGUUGAUGGCCCUCCACCGCAAGAUGGCAGGGUAAGCUACAGGACAUCACAGGGAGGGGCAAGCGGUCAGCUAUUAGUUCUUCCUACACCAGCUACAAGGGAUCUGGGGAGAUACUAGAAUAUAUAAGAAGGAGAUUAACUAGACCCAGGACUUCAUGGGCCAGCUUCAAUGAGCCAUCACUCAUGACGGGGUAGGACUUUACAGUCACACAGCUGUUUGGGUCCCCUUACUCUUGCAAGUAAGCCCUCCUGUGG
Arvicola amphibius (Eurasian water vole) is the source of this 2470-nucleotide long non-coding RNA. RefSeq lists it as uncharacterized. The record is from RefSeq and is a predicted model, not a curated record. The transcript is spliced from 3 exons. NCBI's taxonomy places the organism in Eukaryota, Metazoa, Chordata, Mammalia, Rodentia, Cricetidae.